UAAAGAUACUUUUGCAUGAAUUCUGGGUC
RNAcentral lists this non-coding RNA (29 nucleotides) under Mus musculus (house mouse). The record is from RNAcentral. Lineage: Eukaryota; Metazoa; Chordata; Mammalia; Rodentia; Muridae.